This 76-nucleotide transfer RNA is filed under the name Gemmiger formicilis. RNAcentral describes it as "tRNA-Pro". It matches the Rfam family "tRNA". Rfam says of the family: Transfer RNA (tRNA) molecules are approximately 80 nucleotides in length. Their secondary structure includes four short double-helical elements and three loops (D, anti-codon, and T loops). Further hydrogen bonds mediate the characteristic L-shaped molecular structure. tRNAs have two regions of fundamental functional importance: the anti-codon, which is responsible for specific mRNA codon recognition, and the 3' end, to which the tRNAs corresponding amino acid is attached (by aminoacyl-tRNA synthetases). tRNAs cope with the degeneracy of the genetic code in two manners: having more than one tRNA (with a specific anti-codon) for a particular amino acid; and 'wobble' base-pairing, i.e. permitting non-standard base-pairing at the 3rd anti-codon position. Lineage: Bacteria; Bacillati; Bacillota; Clostridia; Eubacteriales; Oscillospiraceae. The record is from RNAcentral. RNAcentral also lists the same sequence under 8 other names.
CGGGGUGUAGCGCAGUUGGUAGCGCGCCUGGUUCGGGACUAGGAAGCCGUGGGUUCAAAUCCCGCCACUCCGACCA